CCCCCCCCCCCCCCCCCCCCCCCCCCCCCCCCCCCCCCCCCCCCCCCCCCCCCCCCCCCCCCCCCCCCCCCUUUUAUGGCUUGCGGACUUCAGGAGCCACAACUCCUUUAGUUAAUGUUUGUAGUGAGAAGCAGACCAUGCUGCAGUACUGUGCAGGAAUUCACCGAAUCCCAGGAUGGGUCAGGCUGAAGGGACCACAGUGGGUCACUGGUGCCAUCUCCAUUCUCCAGCAGGGACAGCCCAGAGCACAGGGCACAGAAUUGUGUCCAGACAAUUCUGGAAUAUCCUCAGUGAGGAGACUCCACACCCUCUCUGGUCUCUGUCCAGUGCUCAGUCACUGCACAGGACAGAAGUUGUGCCUCCUGUCAGUGGAACCCCCUGGGCUCAGUCCCUGCCCGUGGCUCUGGUGCCAUGGCUGGGCCCCCGGAGCAGAGCCUGGCCCUGCUCUGCCCCUCCCUGCACACAGGGACACCCAGGGCUCAGGCCCCUCUCACCCCCAACAGCACACAUUUCCACAAGAAAAUCACCACCAAUUUAACAGUAAAAAACCCCCACCCUCGUUGUACAGAGCAUUCUGGAAGCCCUUUCUGCCCAGGCCAUUGCAGCUUCCCCAUGCUGCCAGGGCUCUGCUGGCUUGCCCAGCUGGAAAAGGACACGGUUGCCAGAGAGGCUGCAGCCCAGCCUUGGUGGCCAAAGGGGCUCGGGGGGCUGCACAAACUGACUUUGCUCCAGUUCACUGCCCAAAACCAAGGACCAGCCCAUCAAACCACGCAUCCAGUAUCAGAUGGAAGCAUUCACUUCUAAGGAGGAUGUCUGCAUUUCCUGCUCACCUUGUCUAAACAGAGGAGACUCCUGGCAGAAGCUGAGCAUUUUGUGCAUUUGAAAAUUGUCUGAUUGGAAAGGUUUUAAUCUCACACCUCCACAGCCUCCCUGUUGGAUGAAGUUGCAGAUAUAUGGGCCACUCCAGGGAGGCAAACUGAACCAACCAGAGGCUUAUACAACAGGCAGCAUUGAUGUUUGUUUUCUCAAGAGAAGAGGAGAGUGCUUUCCAGCUGCAGGAGAAAAGGGGGAAGAGAAGAAUGCCUUUAACUGUUUUAAUACAAUCAAUGUAGAUGGGAGCAAGCCAAAAUCCAGGCAGGGACCCCCCCCAGGGCUUUAGCAUGAAGCUAUAUGAAAGUUUGGACCCAAAGCGGUGGGUUUGCUUCUUAUCUAUCUAAUAGACAAGGGGAAAAAAAAACCAACAACACAAAACAACCAUUCCAGACAUUUUUAUGUUUAAAAUCCAACUCUGAUUUUUGAAUCCCAUCUGUAGCUGGAGUAUUUCUAAUAAACUUAUCUCAAGCUUACUUGAGGAAGGCCUGGCUUUUCAAGGCACCCAAUGAAGUUUCUCACAUCAGCUGAAGACACCCAUUACCUUGUGGAUAUUCAUGUUUGAGCCAGCCAAGCUCUUCCCUGAGCACAAUGGCAUUUCAAAACUCUGGGAUGCAUAAAAUCAGUGUGACUUGGCCCACGGGUUGGAUCAGAGAGCUCCAGAACAGCUCGUUUUGACAGUACCCGCACACAGGAAUUGAUUUACUGCUGCUAGAGCUUUGUUUUACUUCGCCUGUAGCAAACGUCAGAGCAGGAGCUGAUUUCUUGAGAGAUAGCCAGCUGUGGGGACUCAUUUUGCCUUUUUUCUCCUUGUGGGAGUUAACUCUUUCUGAUGUUGUUUCAAACAGUAUGUUGGUAUUGGAGCCAUACAAAGUAUCAAACAUCUGGUUAAAAAAAACUACACCAACAGAACACCCAGGGGAAAAAGAGGCCUGAUGGAGAUAAAUGUGAUUUAGUAACGUAAUAAAGCAAUGAAUCAUGCAAAAUAAGCGUCAUUACUUGGUUGAGAACAAUGAGAAAACCAGAAUAUGGAGCGUUCAGUGCUGGUUUACCUACUUCAUUCAACCUGGCUUAGGCAGGAACAGGAAAUUCCAGCUCAAUUCCUAACACCUUGUCUUGGAAAGGAC
RNAcentral lists this long non-coding RNA (1997 nucleotides) under Ficedula albicollis (Collared flycatcher). Its description in RNAcentral is "lncRNA (ENSFALG00000027176.1)". Lineage: Eukaryota; Metazoa; Chordata; Aves; Passeriformes; Muscicapidae. The record is from RNAcentral.